RNAcentral lists this long non-coding RNA (12350 nucleotides) under Coffea arabica (coffee). RNAcentral's name for it is "long non-coding RNA (CARA_LNC006416)". Lineage: Eukaryota; Viridiplantae; Streptophyta; Magnoliopsida; Gentianales; Rubiaceae. The record is from RNAcentral.
UGAUAAACUUUAAUACAAUUUUUGAGCUUUUUUUCUUUAAUAACUAAUAUUUUGUCAUAUGAUUAAUUAACUAUUUUUAUUUUCUGGGCAUCUGAUAGGGAUCCCUGGGGUUUCAGUGCAUCUCUUCUUUGUCUUCUGAUCCCUUUGAGAAAUGAGGAUUUAACAGGGCUUCUGAGUUGAACACCUUUCUUAAUUGAUAACACUAGCCUCUUUUUUUUGCUGCACUCUGAUACCCCUAUGCAAACCACUAGAUUAUUGGAGGAAAAAAUAAAGAAAAGUUACAGGAUAGAAAAAUAUGAAAAAUGAAUAAAUGAAAAUUUCUGACGACUAUUUUCUCCUUCUUUAAGUAACCUCUGAGAUGCUUUUCUGUUGUGUCUGGUAAUUGGGUCUAAGAAACAAAUGCGUGCCAAAAAUUUUGCACUGCUUGCCAAAUUAUAUUGGUCAUUGCUGGUGAUCUCCCAGAAUUGUGACGGGAUAUCUCUUUUUCCAAUAGCUUAAGAAAUAAACUUACAUGGAACUGUUCUUGGAUACAAUUUGACCAGAUCUUGCUAGUUGGGUUUUGCAUGUCUUUUCUAGGAUACUAUAAAUUUGGUUUCAACUCAGGUUUUAAGUCUUCGGAUCAAUAAUUGGGGAUAUUUUCUUUGCUUGCGUGUUCUUCUCCCUGGAAUUUUUUCAUGUGGUGUGACAUUUUAAUUUCUUUGGAGAGUAGUAUUUGUUAGAGAUUAUAUUAUUACAUGAUUUAUUGAAUUCAUAUUGUUUUAUGCUUGUGUAUCUGUUGCGAAGAUUCUGCUUCUUUUUUCUUUUCCUUUAAUUUAAGUUUUUGGAAGAUUCUGCUUCGCAUUCUUCUUUUUAUUGACCUAGCUGCAUGCUUGUCUUGAAACAUGUGUACAUUAACCUCCCGCUGUUAUUAUCUCUUCUUUUUGUUAAAUUAAGUUAUUAAUUAAUUUUAUAAAUUAUUUGAUAUUUGUUCCAUGUGUCUGUGUUUAGGUUUUUGAAGGAACUUCUGGAAUCGAUAAUAAGUUCACAACUGUACAGUUUACAGGCGAGGUGAAGUAUUUAUUUCUUGCCCUCUUACCCCUGUGCUAAUAGAAUGCCGAGCAGUGGCGGAGCCACAAUGGGGGUACUUGCCUCCACUGCCUUCAUUAUGCUCCUUUGCGUAAUAGGUUAUAAACUUGAAAGAAUUACAAACAUAGUAAUAAAUUCAACUGUUUGCCCCCACUAAGGUAUAAAUAAUGUUUAAAUAUAUGUAAUUUUAAGGUCUAUCCCAUUUGCAGUGAGUAUCAUUUAGAUCAUCUAAACUAUGAAAAAGUAUUGAUGACUAACAUACAUUAUUUUCUUGAUUUUUACUUUUGUCAAGCAUUUUUUAAACUUUUAUUUUUUGAUUGAAAAUUACUUAGAAUGAAGUUUUGUUUUGGCAGCUAUAUAUAUAUAUAUAUAUAUAUAUAUAUAUAUAUAUAUAUAUAUAUAUAUAUAUUGUAAAAAACCUACAAAAGAUGAUAGAAACAUGCAUGAUAAAUAUAUAGUGUCAAAUCCCGAUAGGGAUUCUUUCAAACUGAAAGUUAAUGUAAACUAUUUAUCAUCUUGCAACUUGUACAUCGGUCUAAUUUUCUUACACUUAACCAUACGUUUCAUAUCAAAGGUAUCCUAAUAAGACAAACAUAUGUGGAUGAUUGUAAAAUGAGAAAAUAUUUGGUCGACAACUUGAAAAUGAACUUGAAAUGGUAUACGAAAUUGGACUUGAAAAAAAAUAUACAAGAUACAGAAAUCAUCGUUAAAGCAUAUAGCUUAAUAAGUUUUGCCACCACUGAGAAGAAUUUCUGGCUCCGCCACUGAUUCUGGGACAACGUUUACAUGUAGAGCACUUCACUUAAAGGAAAUUCUGCAUUGGUUUCUGCUGUAAGCAUAUCAUGCCUUGAAUUUCACUACACUAUCUGUCCCAAUAUUGUUAUCCUUUAUUAAAAUUCAACUUUUUAUAAGAUGUACUUCAACUAAAUCUAUGCAUUUUAAAUGGCUUUUUCCCAUAGCUAAUCGCAUUAAGUAUUGCACAAAGAAGUAGUGUCUUUUAAUGAGGUAAAUAUUGGAAUUCUGCUUGGUCUUUCAUUUUAACUUCUGGAUUUGGACCCAUUUCAUAAAUUCAGGUGGAUAUUAAGACGAUAGAAUUGAGAAAGAGGGAGAUCUUUUCUGCCUUUAUAGUGUGAUUUUGUGUCACAUUAUCGUGGAGCAUUGUUCUCUUCUGACCGAUUGCUUCUAGUUGAUUUUCUCCUGUUUUACUAUACCUCAUUAUAACAUUAAUUUUCCUUUUUGACAAAUUCUUUGCAGGUUUUAAAAACUCCUGUCUCACUGGAUAUGCUUGGGCGCAUAUUUAAUGGUUCUGGGAAGCCUAUUGACAAUGGCCCUCCUAUUUUGCCUGAAGCUUACUUGGAUAUUUCUGGCAAGUAUUGCUAGAGGAGAAGUUUAGAUUUGUGAUUUUCUGUUAUACAUUUAAAUCAUGUUGACUUCUGCUACUUCAGGGAGUUCCAUCAAUCCUAGUGAGAGAACAUAUCCUGAGGAAAUGAUACAGACUGGGAUUUCUACAAUUGAUGUCAUGAACUCAAUUGCUAGGGGACAAAAAAUUCCGCUUUUCUCAGCUGCUGGUCUCCCGCAUAAUGAAAUUGCAGCCCAGAUCUGUCGUCAGGCUGGUUUGGUGAAGCGAUUGGAGAAAUCUGACAAUCUUCUUGAGGUAUAUAAUUGGAGUACUUUGCAGUUGAGAGCGAUGAUAUCGAAAUUUUUGGUGCAAUUGAUGUUUUUGUUUUCUAUUUAGUAGAAAUAUGAGUUGCCUGCUUUGAGUCAGUAGCAUUUGCUAAAUUAGCUGGUUUUUUACUUUGAAAAUUUGACAGCUUAUUGUGACAAUAUCUAGUCCCCUUUGCCUUUGUAAUUUAUGAAUGUGAUUAUUGAUGGAUUCUUGGUUUCCUUCUGUCUUACUACCGCUGUUUUCUGCGUAUUCAGAUUACUUUCUGAAUCUAAUUAAAUCUUACAGGAUGUAGAAGAGGACAAUUUUGCAAUUGUCUUUGCAGCUAUGGGAGUGAACAUGGAGACAGCACAGUUUUUUAAACGUGAUUUUGAGGAAAAUGGAUCUAUGGAGAGAGUGACUCUCUUCCUAAACCUGGUAAUUAAUUUUAAAUUAAAAUUUGAGUGAGUAUAGUGGUGUCUUUUGUUGGGGAGAUUACUUUCGUCAUAUAGGGGUUCGUUUGGUUCAUGGGAUGACACAGGAUUGGAUUACUAAUCGCGUGUCAUCCCAUUUUUGGUUGAUUUUUUUACAUGAAAUGAUACAUCCCACUAACAGAAUUAAUCCCCCAUAUGGAGGAUAAAAUAAUCCCAUGGGGGAGGUGGUAUAACUUAUCAUGGGAUGAGUAAGAGGUAGGAUAAUACCAAUUUGGACUUAUUUAUCUUUGCUAAUAGAAUAAUACUUUAUUCUAAAAGUUAUAUAACUCUACUCUCUUGCUAUAAUAUAAUCUAAAUUUUGGACUAAUUUGGCCUUGUUAAUGACAUAAAAAUUUUUGGAUAAAUUUGCCCCUACUUAUAAAAAAUUAAAUGUUGGACUAAUUUGCUCAUAUUAAUGAAAUAACUUAUUGUUGGACUAAUUUGCCCAUACUAUUAACAAAACUAAUUUUUUUAUUCAUUUGUCCAUAGUAAUGAAAUAAUUAAAAUUUUGGACAAAUGUGUCCAUAAUAAUAAAAAAUUUAUGUUUUCGACUAAUUUGCCCAUGCUAAUGAAAUAACUAAGUUUUGGACUAAUUUGCCCCUAUUAUUAAUAAAAUUAAUAUUUUGACUAAUUUGCGCUUACUAAAAAUUUUAGACUGAUUUACCCUACUAAAAACAAAACCCUAUUUUCUUGGUCAAUUUCAGUUCAUGAAAGGUUAGAUAUGUCAUUUGAGACUUGUAAGUUUGGCCUAAUCUGAACUAAGCUCAAAACUCCAAUAUAUUUGUGAUUUGAGUAUGGUCUCAUAGUGUUGGUCCGAAACCCAAAAUAAAAAAUUUCUACUUUUUACAAGCUGAGUUUGGGUUUAUCAAACCCAAUUAAUACUCCUAAUUGUUGGUUUGACAAAAGGGUAUUUUGGUCUAUAAUUACAUAAUCCCACCUCAUCCUAUCUCUAAACAAGCAUAGGAUGAUGUUAUUUCCUAUCACAUCCCAUCUAAUAUGAAACCAACCAAACACUAGAUAAUAAGAUUACUCAGCUGAGGAUGACUCAACCCAAGAUGAGUAAUCCGAGGAUAAGUAAUCCCCUCUCUUCCGGUCAUUGAACCAAAUGCACCCUAGGUGAAAUUGGGUUGAAAACUGCCAAUGCUGAUCUGUUUCCUUGUAUGUCUUCCAGGCAAAUGAUCCUACAAUAGAACGUAUCAUUACUCCUCGGAUUGCUCUGACCACUGCUGAAUAUCUGGCAUAUGAAUGUGGGAAGCAUGUCCUUGUCAUCUUGACUGAUAUGAGUUCUUAUGCUGAUGCUCUUCGUGAGGUAUGGGCCUGAUUUAACAUUUACUGUAUGAUGAAUAAAACUGCUGCUAUUUGAAAACCUUUACUGAGUAGAUUUGCCAGCACAUGUCUGAGACAGUUUAAGUACUUGUAUUGCAGGUUUCUGCUGCCCGAGAAGAAGUACCUGGAAGACGUGGCUAUCCUGGUUAUAUGUAUACUGAUCUGGCAACCAUUUAUGAGCGUGCCGGACGUAUUGAAGGGCGAAAAGGAUCUAUUACUCAAAUUCCUAUCUUGACUAUGCCCAAUGAUGGUAAUAUAUUUUAAAAAUGAAAAUCAAUUUUAUGAUUUUUUUUUGCAAUUUCACUGGAUUGUAUGCACUUACGGGGUCCUCCUGACUUUUUUAUUGUGCUUAUUUGUCAGAUAUUACACAUCCAACUCCAGAUCUUACAGGUUACAUCACAGAGGGGCAGAUAUAUAUUGACAGGCAGCUUCACAAUAGGCAGGUACAUGCUGCCAGUAAUUAUUUGCAUCUGUUUUGGUAUAUUAGGUCAUUGUAUAGGAAUGCAUCAAGUUGCUUGUUUGGGCAUUGUUAGAAUUGCGUUGUCCUGAAUUUUUAUUAAAUGAGGUAGGUACCAGAAGAAGUCUCAUGGUGAGUAACCCAGUCCUACAAUCAUAGGGAAUUUUUAGCCAAAGUAAGCCAUUGCAUUGGUUACAUGCAUGUUGUGGAUUUGUCAAAUUUAAGGCCAAAAGCAUAUAUUUGUAGGAAAUAAGCAAUUGAUUCACCUAUUGCUAAAUGAAUUAGUGCACGAGGUUUGCUGGAUAUCGGUCUUUUACCUUGUACUGGCUUUUUGGGCUACUGACCAUGAUAUUGAGUGUAAUUGUUUUCUCACUGUCUGAUGCAUUUUUCUUAUUUAAUUUUAACAUAUUUUUCCGUUGAAUUUUGUAUAGUAUUGCCUAAAACAGUAUAUUUUCCCUGCAAACAGAUAUAUCCUCCAAUCAAUGUACUUCCUUCGUUGUCUCGUUUAAUGAAGGUAAGUGAAGGCUCUACAUGGCUGUAUGCCAGGUUGAUGAUUUGACAAUUUUUUGACUGUACGUAUCAUCAAUGGUUGAACUUGUCAUUGCUUAAAAUGCUGCAGAGUGCCAUCGGUGAAGGGAUGACUCGCCGGGAUCAUGCUGAUGUGUCCAACCAGGUAUUGUUUGUUUUAGCAUUCCAAGCCUUUCUUUGCUGUUCCUUCUUUUGUUUGCAAACUUUUAAGAGAGAGGAGUUCAAGCUAUAAAUUUUUCUUUCAUGGUAUCGAUUCAUUAAUUGCUUGAUUGAUUUGUCUUCCUAUGAAAACUUCAGCUGUACGCAAAUUAUGCAAUUGGGAAGGAUGUGCAGGCAAUGAAAGCUGUGGUUGGAGAAGAAGCUCUUUCUUCUGAGGAUCUGGUCAGUUUAGGAAAAUUUGUUUCUUUUUCAUUCAAUUGAAGUAAUUGAUAUUUACAAUGAAGAGUAACAAUGUUGCUGAAAUCAACAGCUGUACCUGGAGUUCCUUGACAAAUUUGAGAGGAAGUUUGUUGCUCAAGGAGCAUAUGAUACCAGGAACAUUUUCCAGUCACUUGAUUUAGCAUGGACCUUGCUCCGCAUCUUUCCACGCGAGCUUCUCCACCGCAUUCCGGCGAAGACGCUUGACCAAUACUACAGUAGAGAGUCAGCUAAUUGAUGCCAAAACACCGAUUUCUGAACUUGAUCUCCUCGAUUUCUUUGCCUUGGCAUGAGCUUUUGUAUUUUUAUCUGUCGAGUUCGAGAAUAAAAUUUACAUCUUCUAGGAUCCCCUAGAGCAAUACUCUCCGGAAAAGCUGAAAGACACAGAUAUUCUUUUGUUGAGCGCAAUUAGUGUGUGUAAUUAUUAUCAUUAUUGUCGUUGCCCAAAUAUAUCACGGGCUUUGUCUGUUAAGUUGAAGGGGAUAUUCAGGGCUUCCAUAAGAUAUUGUUACGUCUGUUUUGCAUCUCGAAACAUGUAUUCUUGUGUUUUUUCAUGAAGGAUUCUUUUUUUUUCUUUUUUUUUUUUUGUCACAACGAUAAUAUUAGUAUAACCUAUUUUAGUCUGAUUUUGGAGGAGAGAAAGAGAGGCCUCACUGAUGGAGAGCCCUGUUGGAGGCAGCCACAUUUUAGUGACGGUCACAAUUAAGUAACAAGGUGGGAGGUAAGAAGGUGGGAGGUAAGGGUUGGCCACGAACGAUUCAUUGUGGCCAAGUACAUUCUGGUUAGUGAUUUAUGCUGUGUACGGCUGGUUUUGCUUUUAGCAUUAUUGAAAUGACAAAUUAGAUAUAUAUAUAUAUCUGUAUUGAAAAUAUUAGAGAUAUAUCAAUGCUCCAGCAAUCAUUCAAUUUCUGAUAGCUAAUUGCAGCAAGGGGCCUCCAUCAGAAACAAAGGUGAGAAAACUUGCUUGAUCCUUCCCAACGAAGAAAAGCAAUCACAUUUAAGGCCAAGUUUACUUGGUUCGAUCAUGGUUGUGUCCCAUAGCCAUAGGACAAGUGCGCGGAGUGCGGGAUUACAAAAGCUCAGCUUAGCUUAGCUUAAUGCAGCUGUACAAAUUCUGAUGCAAUACAAUGUCUAGGAUGAAUACACUCUCAGCCUCCUGAAAUUUUCUGCUCAAGGGAUUUACCAAAGAUAAAAAUUCACAGUAAAACUAAAGAUGCUUUACAUGAGAAAUUGGCUAAUAAUCGACCUAAAGUCACAGUAGCUCGAAGCUUCAGAUAUUUAAGCUGGUGGUACUAACUCAUGAUUUUCUGAUUUAACUAAUCAAGUCGCAUCCUAUAUUCUAUGAAAAGCUGUUGCACAUCAUCAAGGACCAUGGCAAGGCCACAACCAAAUUUGAACAUACAUACAGAGGUUCCCCGUCAAAGUUGCCAUGAAUUUGUUUUUUUCUUGGUGAAAACCAUCGUCUAUACCAAUUAACCAAGGUAAGUCAGAAAUUGCAAUUAUCUCGUACUAUUUUUUUACUCGUACUCUCCUAAAAAAUGGGGAAAAUGGUAAACGACCAAAAAUGUGAAAAACUUCAGCAAUCACCCACAGAAAAAAAAAAAAAAAGAAAGGAAGAUACGUGUUAUCCUGCUUUUGAUGUUCUAGCUACAGGUGGUAGCACAACCAAAUCAAGAUUCCCAGGAUAAGGGUUCCACAAGCCUAAUCCUCCCCUAGUCUCUUUCAAGCUAGGGUCUUUCUCAAACUCCUCUAAUGUUUUCACCCACUCUAUUGGGGACGAAUGUUCCCGAAUGUGUGGGUGCAGAAUAAAAAUUGAGUUGUAUUCACAGUUUGGGAACAUAAAAAAUUUGAAGAGACCUCCCAACCUGUAAACAACAUAGCCAAAGCUCAGCUGAUCUCUUGGCGUAAGGAGGUUAACCUCAUUAAACCAUAAGCAACUAAACAAAUUAUUCAUAGCAGUAUGUUCGCGAAUGAUAACGGCUCCUUCAGGCACAUCUGCAAGGAAUAGGAAUUUUGUCAGGAGCAUAAUACACCAUUAAAACGCUGAAUGAUGAAGAGAAAUGCAAGUGCUGCUAGCCUUUUUUUUUUUUUUUUUUAUCAGUAAAACAAACAGUGGUACUACAAGCAGGACUUUAGUAAUUCUCUCCAUAGAUAAAAGCAAGCAAUAAUUAUGAAGCAAAAUGAGAAGUUCUCAUACCACUCAAAGUGCCUUUCUUUGGAUUCCAUGGCUCCAUCCCCUCAUAGCGGUAAAUUCUCAUGUGGAGAUCUAUAAGAGGACGAGCAUAUCGCUUUCUACGUUUAUUAGCAUCAGCCUCCUCAUAUACACUUCUAUGAUGCUUGUGCUGUGCAAUUGCAAAUGUGUGCUUCCCCCGCCAUAGAUAUCUGAAGCAACAGAAAUUCUUGAGGUUAAAGAACUAUGAUAUAUAUGAUGUCGCAUACAGAUUUAAAAUCUAACUCUCCAAACUACUACUGCCAGAGGUGAGUUGAUCAUGACAGAAUGAGGCAUUAUACCUGACCUAAAAAUCGUGCGCAGAUUCUACCAUUAUUCAAAUACUAAAUGAACAAGGCCCAGAAAAUUAAAACCAAACGAAAAUCAAUCCUUCCUCUCCCCGACUUUGGUAUUAACUCUGUCCUACCCAAUACUUUACCAUGUUAUAAAUAGCCAAGACAAAAACCAAUUCCAAAUAACAGAUGAAUCCUACCGCAUUUUACACAGAAUAACCAGUAUAGUUUAGGCUACCAUAAAUUAUUAAAAGGACCAUACCUUUCUAAAAUUAGCAACGGAUCAACUAUAAGCUCCAUUUUACCAUCAAUCCAUAUGCUGUAUUGUGCAUGAGGAAAUAGUCGGUGGGUUAAUAUCUUUGGAACCUUUCCAUUCCUCCUGGGCUCAUCAUAAGGCGGAUGCUUCAGCAGAACUAGACGCCAGAUACCCACCCACUGCCCACCAGCCUCAUCCUUUCUAACUGUAACAUUUCCCUUGAUAAACUUAUAAGAUUCUUCAUCCACCACCAUCAGAAAACAAAAUAGCUUCCUCGAGCGCUGGCUUAUAUUGGAUGGUUGAUAAGGUAGAUCAUAUCCAUCAAAUAUACCAGAUGCAACAACAAAUCGACACUUCUUGGAAUAUUCGAUAUCCUUUGGGUCCAUUUCUGCACCACCAUUUUUCAUAAAACCACAAUGCACCUGAAGAAAGAAUACAUGUCUCAAAGCAAUCACAGGAGCUACAUGCCAAACUGUAAUAGUCCAUUGACCUACUAAACAUGAUUCAAGCAAAAUAUGUCAGAUUUAAAUGGGAAAAUGUGCAAGAACCAGUGUUAUUUACCUUCAUCGUAGGCUUUACUUUGAAGCUUUUAUCUCUUUGUUUCCAGGUCUGAUGUCCUCCAAAGAGAGGAGGCGAUUCAGAUCUAUGACUAGCCAUGUCAUCUUCCAUUAUAUAGGAUAAACUUUGAACAAAUCUCUCAGGGGAUCCUCUUUUUGGAAUUACUACAGUAUUAGGGUCAUCAGCGACAGGAAUUGGACAGCCUAGUGAAACAUUAAGAACAAAAAUACUAGUUAUGGACAUCAGGAAACAGAGAUUUGUGUGUAGCAGCAAUGAUAAGCAGCAGCGAUCUUACGGUGUGGUGGUCUAACAAGACCCAUUGUGUAUAGCUUGUCGAAUACCUUGCUAUCUUUGUUACAAAAAGCUGCAGACCAAAAAAUAACAUCAGAAAGCACCCUAGUUUUUAUACAUUAUCCACCACUCUAUUCCACACUAAACUGGAGUAUUGGCAAAUGUGCUGACAAUUUCCGGACGGCAUUGUAAGAUAUUUCUUUUAUGUUUCCCCUAAAGGCAUUAUUAUCCUUGCCUAAUGAGGGAUUUUCAUUAUUUACCUUAUGGUGAAAAGUUAGCUACUUGUUACACGAACUUCAAAAUUCAUUUAAACUCAUGGCGAAACACUGCUACUCCCCUAUUAUGGAAAAUAAAGUUGACAUUAUGCAUUUCAAUGAUUUUCUCGACUUUCAAAGCAUUGACGGUAUCAGCUACAAAAAAAAGCAUCUCUCCUAUCUUCCUUCUUUGGAUUUUCGGGGAAAAAAUUAACAAAGAAAACCUAUUGCUUCACGUAUAAUAGCGUGCACUGUGCACAACAAGAAAGAAUCGAGAAGUAUAAAACCAAAAAGUAAGUAAUGAGUUUAAAAAAUACGAGUACCUGAAAAGAAAGCAAGAGAAGAUUGACAAGACCAAAUAUGAAACAGUAAAGCAGAAAGAAUAAGUAGCAUCCAAAUAAUCCCAGCCACCAACACCAAUCUAAUAAAACCCUUCUUCCAUAUAAUCUUCAUUGAGAAAUCUGGCGCUGAGUUCCCACCACCACCUAAGAAACAUACACAAAGUAUACAAAUCCACGAAGUAAAAAAUAACAAUCAUGAUAAUAAUACUCAAAUUGUCAGAGAAAUACAACAAAAUAGUAGUACAACGGAUUAUGUUUAAGCAAAAAAAAAAAAGUUGUUACCUUUCUGGUAGGAUAAAUUAAUUCGGUCCGGCCUACGACUGGCCCGUAAUGAAACGGAACGUUGAAAAUCAUUGUCCAUUUCAAUGCAUAAAUGAUUCAGGGAAUUCGGGUAUCCCAAAUACUGAUUAGACAAAUAGCAGAAUGAAGUUUCCUGAGAGGAGGGAUCCAAAGGAGCUGUGAUUUUUAUUCAACUAGCGGAAAGUUUCAGCAAGAAUUGACAGGAAGAAAGCUCAACUGAAGAUACAAAGUUCAAUGUACCCUUGGAUCUACUUUGGACAAUUGGUAGUGAUAUACGUACUAGAAAGCUAACAAUUACAACCCAAAAAACAUAAAAAAGGAAAGGAGAGAGAUUCUGUGAUAUUCACCGAAAAAAAUUUUAAAAAAAAUGAAAACUGAAAAAUGAAUUAGAGAUUGAUAUAUUGUGCCAAAGUUCAAUUCUUGGCAAUGAAUUGCUUGGUUUGAAUGGUAGCCCGGGAGAGUUGUGGGGAGGAUGCAGAAAUUUCCCGGCAGUAAUACCUUUGUAUUGAAGAAGAAAGUGAACCUUGAAUCCCAAAGAGGGGCGCCUCCGGAUCGUCGUUUCUCCCUACAGUAGCCUAUUUAUACGUCUCUUCCGCUUUUCAGUUUGACGGUACGGCGCCGUUUUAUCAACCUCGCCAACAGCCUAACCCGACACCGACAAGGCUUGAAACCUUCCACCAACUGGGGAAGAUGUUAAACCGUGGGACUUUGGACGGGAAAACGUUCCCUUUUUUUUUUUUUUUUAAGAAAAAAAAAUAACUUUCGAGUUUUGACGGAAAACAUUCCAUAAAAAAGAAAAAAAAAAUAAAUCUUUUUGCUUCUUAUAUGAUCCUAGUUGGAAGGGGAAAAAUACGAUAACUAUUUUGGAAAGUGAAGUAAAUAAAGAAUUUUUUAUAGUACUUUGUUUUUUUAACUUUUCUUAACAUGAUGACCAUCGAACAUUUAAUUUUGUGCACUUUUAACCCUUCAAUUAUUAAUUGUAUUUUUUUGUUUCUAACAUUUUAAAAAGUUUGACCCUUCCAUAAAUUUUAAUUGGAGAAAAAACUUAAACAAAAGAAGAACAUUCUAAUGAAACCUUUUUUUUUUUUUCAGACUUUUGACGUUAGUUAAUUAAAUCUAAUCCCAAAUUUAAUCCUAAAAGCCGGCAACUCUUGAGACAAGUCUGGGGAUUUAACUACCUAACCCCCCAACUCCGAUGUGGGAUUACGGGAAAGUUAAUAGAACAGCCUCUACUAUGUCUUAAAGAAGAAUCCAUUACCCAGAUACCUCCCCUGGUAAUGAAACCUAUCUCAAGCAGCAUAUUUUUCCACCAACUAUUGUUGAUGACUAUUGCAACUAUUCGUGUCUAAUCAAUAACUAUUAAUUGCUGUUGAUUAAAGAUUGAUUAAUAUUUUAUUGGAGUCAAAUUUUAACGAAGUUAUACAUGUGGAUUUUGCUUUUAAUGUAAGUACCAAACUUUGGACUUGAUUUUCUGUGAAUCUCGCAAAAUACGGUCAUAUUAAGAAUCAAAGAUUGACAAAAAUAUUGUACUAUAUCAUUUUAUUAAAAAAUACUCUAUCAUUUUAAUGAAAGUUUUGGCACGAAAUUCUCUAAUAUGCUAUAACACAAUUAUGCACUUUACUAUAGUUUCCAACUACUUCAAUGCACGAUUCACAUUAAAUUCUCCCAUAGUUUUAUACUAAUAAAAUUCUCACAUCAUGGACACCUAGAUGCCUGUUUGGAAUCUGAGUUUUUUGGAAGUUUGUCUAAAACUUUACUGUAGUGUACUGUAGAAGUUUUUGGAAAAAUUUUUUAAGAUGAAAAAAAUUUUUAAGUUUUUUUAAGAAGUUUUUUGGAAGUUUUUUUCCUUUUCUUUUUUUUUUUUCUUUUUUUUUCUUUCCUCUCUCUUCUUCUUCCUCUUCCUUCCCACUCCCCUUCCCUCCCCCGUUACUUCUGCGUUG